UGCACAGCGGAAUCUAUAUAGGAAUGUGA
Molecule: non-coding RNA, 29 nt
Filed under: Homo sapiens (human)
Lineage: Eukaryota; Metazoa; Chordata; Mammalia; Primates; Hominidae
Source: RNAcentral